UGAACAAAAAUGCAUUUACAUUGUUUUCUAAGCCAGCUGUGUGGUCUGGCCUAUUUUCCUUCACUGCUUUGAUGAAUAAAUUGUGUAAAAUCUACUUGCUUUCGUAACAGGAGUUCCUGCUAAGAAAACGUGCAGUUAGACUCACACAAUAAAGCACACCAGUCUGACGUCUGGGUCAGAUUUAAGAAAUCAAUUCUCCCCUGCUUCCACAGAAGUCAUUUUAUUGUGGAAGACAAACUAUCGUGAUGCAGCUUGGAAAAUGAAAAUCUAUUUAGAACUACCCUGGGUUUUCUGAUGGGUCGGUAGUUGUUUUAAUAUAUGUAAAGAUAGGUUAAAGGCAUUUUCAAAUAAUGAUGACAUUUUCUUGGUCUAGGCAUAUAUUACUCAGAAAAGAAAUUAAUGGUUCAAGAACAUCAAAUCCAUUAGCCACUCUCACCAGACUGCUUCAAAUAAGGUGGACUGGGAAGGGUCAUGGCUGAACAGGAAACCAGCAGACAUCAGUUCUAUUCUGGGCUUGACUUCUGAGUGACUUUGAGGAUUUCACUCAAUUUUUCUGCUAUUCGGUGUGUUCAGGUUUCAAAAAAUUGAAAUGAUAUUACCAGGAUGUUGUGGAGAGUUAUCAGAUUAACAAGAUGCUUUGGACUCCUGAGAUACAAGCUAAUGUAGAAACAGGAGAUAUCCAAGACACAGCUCAUGGCCAUACAUCUCAAAUUGUAUGUACCGCACACUCCUCACUGCUUUAAAGCCCUGCGAAUGAUUCCUUUCAAAUAGUGUAUUGUUCUAUUUGAAUUGGUGCUCAGUUACAAAUGCUGGGAUAAAGGUAUACUCUGCUGAAAUCCGUUCAUUUCAAUUCAAGAAAAAGAAGAUUGAUGGAGUACUUAGAGUAGGUUAUUUAGUUUGAUGACAAUCUAUAAUCACCUAAUAUUAAAAGAGCCUCCUGGUUGAUGUCUCUUUUUCUGAACCAUGCAAAAUCUAAAGUUGUUUUACUAACACCACCUCAAAUUUGCCAAGUGACUACUAACUGCUAAACACUUUUCUCAAAUUAUUUCAUUUAGCUUUCACAACUCCACGAGGUGUAUUUUAUUAAUAUCCUCAUUUUACAGACCAGAACAUUGAGAAUUAGCAAAGACACAGAAUCACUCAAGUUGUCAGGAGCACAACUGUCAUUUAGCCUAGGGUCUCUUAGCUUCUAGUCCCUAACUUAUACUUUCCCCAAACUUGUGAUUGUCAUGCUUUUGAAUAUUCGAUACGCUUUUUAAGAUGCACAUUCCUGAGAUCCACACACAGAGUUCCUUGAUGCUACAACUUGUUUAUUGUAAAUUAGAGACAUCCAAGGAUUGAAAGUAAGGGAACUGAGAUUCAGAACAAAGACUUUAUAGGAUGGCAAUAGAGGACCCUCCUACUGCUAGUACGAGAUGAGCAGAUGGGUACAGCAAACCUUAUGACCCUCAGUCAUCGGAUGGUUAAGCAAGUGUGACU
Molecule: long non-coding RNA, 1479 nt
Filed under: Sus scrofa (pig)
Lineage: Eukaryota; Metazoa; Chordata; Mammalia; Artiodactyla; Suidae
Description: lncRNA (ENSSSCG00030049350.1)
Source: RNAcentral